This is a long non-coding RNA of Triticum aestivum (bread wheat), 2620 nucleotides long. RefSeq lists it as uncharacterized. NCBI's taxonomy places the organism in Eukaryota, Viridiplantae, Streptophyta, Magnoliopsida, Poales, Poaceae. The transcript is spliced from 4 exons. The record is from RefSeq and is a predicted model, not a curated record.
UUGCUCUUGUUCUAAGAACUUCUCGUACUAACUGUAGGAGUAAGGAGGCAAGUUGGCUACUGUAUCCUCUUCCUAUCAGUCCGCUUACCAAAAACUCCAUGGGCAGAGGCAGGCCAUGGAGGGAAGGGAAGAUGGGCCAAUUAUUUGCGCCAAUCAUAUGCAACAUCGAAACGGCGGACACAGUGCGCAAAAUCUAUGUGGGAAUAGUAGUAAACCUAAUAAUCAGCGAAAGAACAUGCUUCAAGGAAAACCCUGAGGGAGAAGAGGAAACUUAUGUUCAGUUAAAGGACAUGCUUCAAGGAACUAACUACCUAGGAUGCCUGGGGUAGUGAUGACGGUGAAAGCCAAGGGGAAGCACAGAUUUAUGGCGUAUCAUCUCUGAACAUGCAGAGGUGUAUGUCUGUAUGCCAGAGGACCGAGAGGAGGGUGUGGGAACUGGAAAAGCAGCUCGGGUGAAGAUGCUUGGAUUCUGCAUUUCGGAGAGAGCAGCGUGGCGGAGGUGCUUGGAUUUCUGCGUUUCUCCCAGCCUAGCUCUUGUUUUCUUCUCUCGCUCUCCUUCAGCACGGCGGCGUGGGCUUGCCACUGGAUUCUGGGACAAGCAUCCAGAGCCGUACCACGCGCAGUCUGGCGGCCUCUUGCAGCCGCAGAGAGCAAUUCUCGGAAGCUCGGGAUCUGCGGCGCGCUGGUCAUAUUGCUUGUGUGCUUCUUCCUUGAGGAAGAUGCACUGACUGGCCGUGGACAUGGGCAGUGCUCAGCGGUGGUUGCUUUCAGUACCAGAGCGGCUACCACCACCGGGAGAGGCCAAUGCUGGCGGUCACGAGACGCCAACUGGGUCAAGAUUUUGGUCCAGUCUGAAAAAUAGCCAAGUGGGUACUGUUUGUCCAAGGGGGGUCUGCAUUCCACCCUGUCGUGCUGAGGGGGACUUGUUGUUUUCAGCCCCACGGAUCACAAGGAUAUGGCGUACUGCACUCCCGACUAGACGACAUUCACAAAAUCCAUAUUUUGCCAUCACAAGCUUGUAGAUAAUAUGUGGAGGGAUUUGAAGAAAGGCCAAUUGCAGUGACUUGGGCUAAAUUAAGCAACUGGCCAGCAACUGAGAGCCGAUGAGAAGGAAGAUGGACAAGGGAAAUUUCUAUUUGGUCGAAGGCGCCCAUUGCCCCGGCUAUAGGUUUUAGAUGGGCCAGCCUAUGAAAGCUUCUCACACAGUCACGGUUUUGGUAUGCUUCCAUUCUGAUUUUCUCCAUUUUUUGUGUUUUAUUGCCAUUUUCUUUACUUUCUUACCUUUUCCAAUUGAUGAAUAAAGUUCUAUUUUUUGUGAAAACUUCCAAACUUCAUGAUUUUUUAGAUUUGUGAGUUUUUUUUCAAAUUCAUGAACAUUUAUUGAUCGUUUUUAAAUUUUGCAAAGUUUUUUUUUCAAAUUUGUGGAAUUUGUUUCAAACCCACAUUUUUUUAAAAUCAUGAUUUUUAAAAAUUGAUGAUCAUUUUUUAAAUCAUGUUUUUAACUAUAAGAAAAUGGUAGCUGUUGUUCUGCACCAGUGAGCCAGAAAAAAACAACCUAGAGACACAAAAUUGCUUUGCAAGAGCCACAGUUGUGCCUCUUCGAAAAAGGAAAAAGAAAGUCAAAAAAGUGCUUUCUACUCGGUUUUCUUCAUCUGGUUUUUUUGUGAAAAAAGUUCAUGGAAAUCUAUCAACAUGGGUUCUAGUUUCGAAGAUCUUGACGUGAGGAAUUCAAAGAUAAAAAUGGUUUGAAAUUUGACACACGGUUUAAGAGAUAAAAUAUUUUGAAUAAACGAGUCUACGAAAAAAGAAAACUCUUAGGUUGCGACAAGUGGGCACCUCUUGCGGCGGCGAAAUCACUAGUUAAACGAUACUUCACAUCUCCACCUCUCUCACCACUACAUCUCAUCUGCAGCCGGGUGGUUUGGCUCUCCACCCCAGUUCAUACUCGGUGACGGUGAGCAUGGGAACAUAUUGAUGAGUGGGCUCUUUGGUCAUCUUUUUUUUACGAAAAACAUCCGAUCUAUUCGUCUUCAAUCAUGACAGUAUAACGAACACCAGAAAUAAUAAAAAUUGCAUCCAGAUUCAUAGACCACCUAGCGACGACUACAAGCAUUGAAGCGAGCCGAAGGCGCGCCGCCGUCAUCGCCCAUUCAUCACCGGAGUUGGGCAAAACUUGUUGUAGUAGACAGUCGGUUGGUCAUCUUAACGCCUUGCUAGUUAACGAUCAUCACCCCAUGCCUGCUCUUUGCAACGUCUGUCAUUUGCCACAUCAAUACCUGGGUCAAGGGGCAUUUAGUGUUCUUUUGUCAAAGAUAACAUUGCAUUUGGUGCAUCUUGCUAAUAAAACGUAAAGUGGUGGUUUUUUGUUAUUGAUGUCACAAUUGUGAUGGUUUUGUGGAUUUCACUCUUCACAAGGGGCAUUCCUUAACUAGUGAUAUCGCUAUAUAUAACUUUCUAAAUUUUGUUUACAUUUUGCGAAGACUCUUGCAGGCACCUCUGACCUAUGAUCGUUUGUAGUGUUGACCCAAAUGUUUAGAAAUGGUUUUUUGGAAUAUUUUUUAAAGUUUCAUAGAACUUAUUGGCAUUAUUAAUAGAUGACCAAAAAAAUCUAACAUAUAGA